Molecule: ribosomal RNA, 590 nt
Filed under: uncultured Burkholderia sp.
Lineage: Bacteria; Pseudomonadati; Pseudomonadota; Betaproteobacteria; Burkholderiales; Burkholderiaceae
Description: bacterial SSU rRNA
Rfam family: Bacterial small subunit ribosomal RNA
Source: RNAcentral
UCGGGUUGUAAAGCACUUUUGUCCGGAAAGAAAUCCUCUGGGUUAAUACCUCGGGGGGAUGACGGUACCGGAAGAAUAAGCACCGGCUAACUACGUGCCAGCAGCGCGGUAAUCGUAGGGUGCGAGCGUUAAUCGGAAUUACUGGGCGUAAAGCGUGCGCAGGCGGUUCGCUAAGACCGAUGUGAAAUCCCCGGGCUUAACCUGGGAACUGCAUUGGUGACUGGCGAGCUAGAGUGUGGCAGAGGGGGGUAGAAUUCCACGUGUAGCAGUGAAAUGCGUAGAGAUGUGGAGGAAUACCGAUGGCGAAGGCAGCCCCCUGGGCUAACACUGACGCUCAUGCACGAAAGCGUGGGGAGCAAACAGGAUUAGAUACCCUGGUAGUCCACGCCCUAAACGAUGUCAACUAGUUGUUGGGGAUUCAUUUCCUUAGUAACGUAGCUAACGCGUGAAGUUGACCGCCUGGGGAGUACGGUCGCAAGAUUAAAACUCAAAGGAAUUGACGGGGACCCGCACAAGCGGUGGAUGAUGUGGAUUAAUUCGAUGCAACGCGAAAAACCUUACCUACCCUUGACAUGGACGGAACUCCGCUG